AAUUGAUCACAUGGUUCUAUGGGUAUAUGAUUGGGGGUUUGGCUAUAAAGAUCAAUCUAUUGCAAAUAUGAAUAACAUGGCAAUAGGUUUUGAACAAUGAUACAUAUAUAGCCCAGUGGAAUUGCUUGUCAGCUCCAGGAAGGGGAAGGGAAGAAAGGAGGAAAAGAUCAUGAAUCAUGUGAAGAAACUCAGGCCUAAAACUCUGAAUGCUUAUUUCCUUUUCUUCACCCUAUUUACUCAACUUAUCCAUUAUGAGAAAACUGAAAGAAUGUUGGAACUUCAGUCAGAGGAAGUGAGUUCGAAUUUUAUUUCUGGGACUCCCUAUUUUAUUUCUGGGACUCCCUUUUUUAUUUUAUACAUUCUGUUUACCUAGAACAAAUCAUUUCCAUUUUCUGGGCCUCAUUUUGUUGGAUUUGAAGAUCUCUAAGGUCUCUUUACAUUUCUAAAUCCUUUAUCUCCUCUAGGUCUUCUCUCUCAUCUAUUUUCUCUUUUUACCUGCUUUCCCCCUCUCAUCAUUUUUCUGUUUUGCCUCUCUCUCUUUCAAUAUCUGUCCCUUCUUCCUCUAUUGUUUUUUCAUCUAUUUCUCAUCCUUUGUCUUUUCCCUCUCUUUUUUUCUCCAUUCUCUGCUUUUUUCCUCUGUUUAAUUUUGCCUGGUUAUAUCUAUCUUUGAAUCUUUCUUAAUCUUUAUUUCUCUCUUAUUUCUCUCCAUCUUUCUCUGUGCCUCUGGGUAAAUGUGUGUGUUUCUGUCUAUCUUGAUAACUCUCUAUCUCUCCUGAGACAUGAGAUAAUAUUUGUAAAGCACUGAAACUGACUUCAGAAACUGGCAGAUAGUAGGUGCUUGAUAAAUGCUUAUGCCUCCUACCCAACUGCAUACUAAGAACUGGCCAUAUGAAGACAAAAAUGAAGUUAUUGCUUCCCUUAAGGUGCUUAUAUCCCAUCAGGUGAGAAAACACACUGCCAAGCCAUCCAUAGUCUUCCAUUACUCUCUUCAUCCGUGACCUUUUGCUUACCUCUUUGUAAAUUUAUUUUGCAUUACUCCCAGUACUAAAGUAAUGUAUUUUAUAUUACUCUCAUCAAUCACAUGUUUCAAAACUAAGCUGGAGAAAAAUACAAAACCAUGUUAAUUAGAUCCAGUACAAAUCUAUUAUAGUACAUAAUCUCAACUAGAAUCUCUCUGCAACAAAGUAAUCCUUUUAUAUCUUCCUAAAAAACUCACUACUCCACUCACCACAGUGCCUUUUACAAAUCUUUUCAUCCCACCUCAAUUCUUUCUCCCCUCCCAAAUCAUCUGAGAAGCUUGCUUCAUAUUUCCUCUCCAAAAUGAAGUCAUUCACCAAGAACUCCUUCUCAUCUCAUAUCAUUCAAAUGUCCAUCACCACGAUUUCUUCCUUUACUAUUGUCUCAGAAAAAAAGGUGAACUCCUUGACUAGGUGAAUCCUUCUAUGUGUAUAUUCUGUCCUAUCUUCACCAAAUUUCCCCUUUUAUCCUCCCUCUCUUGAUUAUUCUUCAAUCUCCACCUGUCUUCUGACUGUUUACCUUACUGCCUAAAAACAUCCAGCUCCACUAGCUAUCAUUCUAUAUAUCUACUCCCUUUUGUGGCUAACAAUCAAUGCCUCCACUUCCUUUUCUCUCACUCCCUUAACUUCCUAUAGUCUGGUUUCCAAUUAUAUCAUUCAACUGAAAUUGCCCUCUCCAAAACUGUCAAACACAAAAUCUAAUGUCCUUUCUUUCAACCUCUUUUAUCCUUAUUGAAAUCUACAGCUUUUGACAGUCUAUUACCAUCUUCUCUUUAAAACUUUCUUCUUUCUAGGUUUUUGUACAAAGAUCCCCCCCCUCCCAAUUUCCUGCUUCUCUUCUUAUAUUAAUUGGUUUUGUUUAAGGAACAAAUUUUAAAUUUCAUACAAUCACAUCAGUCCACUUCACCUUUUCUAUCUAUUAUUUGGUCAUGAAUUCCUCCCCUAUCUAUAGAUCUGAGAAGCAAUUUUCUCCUUGCUUCUCGAAUUUAUGUUACCCUUUAUAUCUAAACGAUUUGUCCAUUUGGAGUUUCUUUUGGCAUAUAGUGGUGAGAUGUUGGUGUGUACCUAGUUUCUGAUUUCCUGUUUUCCUAAAAAGACUCUUGUUGAAUAAUGAGUUCUUGGCCUGAAAACUGGGGUCUUUAUGUUUAUCAAACAUAGAUCUACUAUGCUCAUUUGUCUCUGUAUAUUAUAUACCUAUUCUGUUCCAUUGAUCAACUACUCUGUUUCUUGGCCAGUACCAAGUUGGUUUUAUUAUUACAACUUUGUGGUAUAGUUUGUGAUCUGGUCCUGUUAAUUAUCCUUCCUUCCCAUUUGUUUUCAUUAAUUGUUUUGAUCUUUUUUGUCCCUCCAAAUGAAUUUUGCUAUUUUUUCUAGUUCUUUAAAGUAAUGCUUUGGCAGUUUGAUUGAUACAACAUGAAACAAGUAAGUUUGGUAGUAAGCUCAACAAUUAAUAUUUCUCCAAUUAUUUGGUCAUUUUCAUUUCCAUACAAGUGUUUUGUCCUUAUGCUUAUAUGGUUCCAGUGUGUGUUUUGCCAAGUAUUUUAUACUAUAUGAAGUUAUGUUAAGUAGAAUUUCCCUUUCUACCUCUUCUUGAUGAAUUUGGUUGGUAAUAUACAGAAACUCUAAUGAUGUCAUAAUUUAUGUAGUCUUAUUUUAUAUUCUUCAAUUUCACUGAAGUUGUAAAUUGUUUUGAUUAGUUUUUAGUGGACUCUCUGGAGUUCUCUAAGUAAAUCAUCAUAUCUACAAUAACUGAAGAUUUUGUUUCUUCAUCUGUGCUUAUUCCCUCAAAUUUCUUUUUUCUUGUCUGGCUGGUAUAGCUAGCAUUUCUAAAAUUAUAUUGAAUAGUCAUGGUGAUAAUGAGCACCCUUACUUUAGUCCUGAUUUUAUUGGAAAGGCCUCUAAUUUAUUCCUAUUACAGAUAAUGCUGUCCCUGGGUUUCAGAUGAAUAUACUUAUAUUAACAAAAGUUACAUUUAUUCCUAUGCUUUCUAGUGUUUUUAAAAGGAAUUAGUGUUGCAACUUGUCAAAAAGCCUUUUCUGUAUUGAUAUGAUCAUGAUUUUUAUUGUUUUGUUAUUAAUGUGGUCAAUCUUAUUUAUAACUUUCCUAAUAUUUGCCAGCUUUAUAUUCCCAGCCUGAUAAUAGUAUACAGUAUUUGUGUUAUAUUGUUAAGGUCUCCUUGCUAAUAUUUUAUUUAGAAAUUUUUGCAUCAGUAUAGUUUUUGUAUAGUAUAUGGUUUUUAUUCUGUUUUGACUUUUCCUAGUUUAGGUUUGAAGACCAUAUUUGUGUCAAAGAAAGAAUUUCUUUUCUUUAUUUUUCAGAGAGUUUUGUAGUGUUGGAAUUCAUUUUCUUUAAAUUUUUGGUAGAAUUUAUUUGUGAUGAAUUUAUAUAGUUCUUGAUUUUUUCAACUUCUUUUUCUAAGUUUUAUUUAAGUCUUAUAUUUCCUGUUCUGUUCAUCUGACUGUCAGACAUUUUGACUAGUUUUCCUUAAUACUUGGUACUCCCUCUUCAUCUCUGCCUCCUAGCUUCUCUAACUUCCUUCAAAUUCUAACUAAAAUCCCACAAGGCUUCCACAAGAAGUCUUCUUUUCUUGAUCUCUCUUAGUUCUAAUUCCUUCUCUCCCCUGAUUACUUACAAUUUAUCCUCUAUAUAUCUUGUUUGUACAUAGCUGCUCACAUGUUGCCUCCCCAGUUAGAAUGUGAUCUUCUUAAAAGCAGGGACUCUUCUUGUUUUUGUUGUUUUGUCUUUCAUUUUUAAUCCCAGUGUUUACCAUAGUAGGUACUUAAUACAUGACUGACAUAAGUAUGCAUAAAUAAAUAUAUAAGAAAACACA
Monodelphis domestica (gray short-tailed opossum) is the source of this 3846-nucleotide long non-coding RNA. Lineage: Eukaryota; Metazoa; Chordata; Mammalia; Didelphimorphia; Didelphidae. The record is from Ensembl.